AUAACAAAGUUAAAAUAAAAAACAAAUACACUAUCCUCCCUACAUCUUGCACGUUUCUGCCCUUUACACAUUAUUCUCUAAAAAAAUCCCACCUUUCAAGUUCCCAUAUUUUCUUCAUUCUUCAAAUAAAAGUUGUUCAAAAUUUGAUUCUUCAAAAAAAUUUAUGCAUUAUGUCCAGAAUUUUGUUGGUCGAUUAGCUAUGAGGUAUACAUUAUUUCAUCAAAUUCUGAAUUCGAUUAAGUUUCAAUGUCGAAGUUAUCGUCUUCAUCGCUAUUUCUUCUUCAACUCAAAUGUGAUAUGUCAAUGUGGGGACGUUGUGGAAAUUAAGAACUCAUGGACGCAAUCAAACCUUGGACAUAGGUCCCUUUGUUGCAAAACUUCGUAGGCACGAUGUGGAUCUAGAUAUUUUCGAUGGUAUGAUGAUGAAAUGCUAGCUCAAACUAGGAGGGUGAUAUGGGGCUUAUUGAAAAGAGUCAAAACAUAUGAAUUUGAUAGCUAUCGAUCAAUAAAAGUAUGGAUGAUAUGCAUUGUCGUAGGGAUGAUAUUGACUACUUGGAUUUGUGCAACAAAAUGAUCUUAAUGUCAAAUCCUACAGUCUUGGUCCUCUUUUAACGAACUGCUGAUAUCGGAUCUUCUACAACCCUUGGUUGAUCUGGUUGCUGACUUGAUACACCUCCAAUGCCUCUACCAGUGGCUCUUCCACUUCCUCUGUGGUUGACUUGAUCUUGAUGGUCUACUAAAAAGUGGUGGCUGGCUUGAGCUUGAUGUUUGUCUAAACAAUGGUGGCUGGCGUGAGCUUGAUACUUAGCUAAACAUUGGUGGGUGGCUUUAUCUUGGU
Molecule: long non-coding RNA, 838 nt
Organism: Solanum lycopersicum (tomato)
Lineage: Eukaryota; Viridiplantae; Streptophyta; Magnoliopsida; Solanales; Solanaceae
Source: RefSeq, a predicted model, not a curated record